AAACAAACAAGCCAAGAGAAUACAUUCAUAUAUCGCUAAUGAUAUUAGCCAAAUGUUUGGACUCAAAUGAAAGACCUUGCCAAAGAAGUAUCCAACACUAGUCCUUAUCUAAAUCAGAAGAAAUGCCAAUACCUUAUGGCAAAGGAGGAAGGGAGAAAGUUUUGGGUCUUCCUAAGAACCUACAAGAUGUGCUAAAGAUUCUCGAUUGGAUUAAAAUCAGGAACAUUGCCCGGCCUGUCCAAGAUCCUUUGUAUAAAUCAGGCAACAUAAAACAGCAAGGUUAAAAAAAUGGCAAGGAGCAGAAAAGUCCUAGAAGAUGAGGAAGUGUGCCCUCAAUAGACCGUAAGAGGGUUUCCUCUGAAUGAAUCUAUUAAAUAGUGCCAGAUCCUGCUGACUCCUUGUCCCAGCGUUCUUCGACUUCACUACUAUCCGAACCAAACAGGUUUAUCUUUGACUACCAGUCCAAGUUUCGCUGAGUUUGGGCCAUUGGAACCUACUCUGGGGCUUUUCUAGUGUCAAAAGUGGUCUUUUUGCAGACCUCAAGACGCCACCGCUAAGGCUUAGUGCUAAUAAUCGGUACCAACCGAUUGAAUAAGCUCCCUUCUAAUAUCUUAUGGAAUUUUGAACCGUCUUUCGAUGCUCAAGCGUUUAAGAAGCGUCCGUUGGGGUGGCUCUUAUCUUACGUCCCGAGGCCUGUUUAUGGAGGACUUACUCAAGCUAAUGAAUGUAUCUACACAAUAAAAGUGUUUACCGACUGA
RNAcentral lists this small RNA (758 nucleotides) under Drosophila pseudoobscura pseudoobscura. RNAcentral's name for it is "GA32426". Lineage: Eukaryota; Metazoa; Arthropoda; Insecta; Diptera; Drosophilidae. The record is from RNAcentral.